UACAGAGGUCCCGAGCGUUGUUCGGAUUCAUUGGGCGUAAAGGGUGCGUAGGUGGCGCCGUAAGUGGGGUGUGAAAUCCCGGGGCUUAACCCCGGGACUGCAUUCCAUACUGCGGUGCUUGAGGACUGGAGAGGAGACUGGAAUUUACGGUGUAGCGGUGAAAUGCGUAGAUAUCGUAAGGAAGACCAGUGGCGAAGGCGGGUCUCUGGACAGUUCCUGACGCUGAGGCACGAAGGCCAGGGGAGCAAACGGGG
RNAcentral lists this ribosomal RNA (254 nucleotides) under uncultured bacterium. RNAcentral describes it as "partial 16S ribosomal RNA". It matches the Rfam family "Bacterial small subunit ribosomal RNA", at positions 524 to 777 of the family's 1533-position model. The record is from RNAcentral.